Molecule: ribosomal RNA, 460 nt
Filed under: uncultured bacterium
Lineage: Bacteria
Description: partial 16S ribosomal RNA
Rfam family: Bacterial small subunit ribosomal RNA
Source: RNAcentral
CCUACGGGUGGCAGCAGUGAGGAAUAUUGGUCAAUGGACGGGAGUCUGAACCAGCCAAGUAGCGUGAAGGAUGUCUGCCCUAUGGGUUGUAAACUUCUUUUAUAAAGGAAUAAAACGGUGCACGUUUGCCUUUUGACAUGUCCUUUAUGAAUAAGAAUCGGCUACCUCCGUGCCAGCGGCCGCGGUAAUCCGGAGGAUCCGAGGGUUAUCCGGAUUUAUUGGGUUUAAGGGGAGCUUAGAUGGGUGGUUAAGUCAGUUGUGAAAGCCUGCGGCUAAAGCGUUGAAUUGCAAUUGAUACUGGCAGGCUUGAGUACAGUUGAGGUAGGCGGAAUUCGUGGUGUAGCGGUGAAAUGCUUAGAUAUCACGAAGAACCCCGAUUGCGAAGGCAGCUUACUAAACUGUGACUGACAUUGAUGCACGAAAGUGUGGGUAUCAAACAGGAUUAGAUACCCUAGUAGUC